This 2401-nucleotide unclassified non-coding RNA is filed under the name Hevea brasiliensis (rubber tree). The record is from RNAcentral. Lineage: Eukaryota; Viridiplantae; Streptophyta; Magnoliopsida; Malpighiales; Euphorbiaceae.
UUUUCUUCUUCUUCUCCUCUCCCGCGCGCGUUCUCCUUCCUCUCUCUCUCUCUCAUACCCUACCCUCUUUCACUAUAUUGAAUAUUGACGAAUAUAUCACCCCACUAUAACGCGCAGGCAAUCUUGCUUGUUUCGACUAUGAAGUUUACUUAAAAUGUAUCCUAUAAAUUUCCUGGAAACCCAGGUUUGAUGAACUGAAACGGCUGCUUCUGAAGUGACUACAAACGCUUAUUUAAAAAAUGGCUCUCUUGUUUUUUUCUCUUCAUUUGCUCUGGUUCCCAAACCACAAAUCCCUGAAGUCCUAAAUUAUCUCCGAGGAGCUGGAGGAAGAGCAGCAAUCUCUGUGCCUCGCUUGAUGGCUUUAUUGGCCAAUUCUCGUGAAUUUUGGGUUUACAAAUCACUGGUUUAGAAGGCCAUUAAGCACAUUCGUACGAAAACAGCAAUUUCACUUUGAAACUCGGUGAGUUUCUUUAUCAGUAUCAUAUGAUGUUUUGUUUCUUCCGCAGAAAAUUAGCGUUAAAUUAUAGGAGCAUUACUUUAUUAGACUCAAAGAUCCAACUGCGUGUUCUUCCUUUUAAUGCAUUAUGCAUAACCAGAUGUUUCUUAUCUAAUUUACCUCUGAAAUCAAAUGACGACUCUUUUACUAUUUCAUACCUCAUAAAUUCAUGUGGGUUAUCCCCAGAAUCCGCUAAAUCCGUCUCUAAGGAACUGCACUUUAAAAGCCCCAAUAAACCGGACUCCAUCCUUAGCUUUCUCAGAGAUCUUGGACUCACCGAUACACAAAUCUCCAAAGUUGUCAGGCGACGGCCCCGUUUGCUUUUGCGUGAUCUCAAUAAAAGAGUUUUGCCCAAUCUUGGUUUUCUUCGUUCUUUAGGGGUUUCUAGCAAUGACCUUCCAAAGAUGAUUAGUGGGAAUCCAGAUUUCCUGUUUCGGAGCUUGGAGCGGCAUCUGAUCCCGUCUUAUAAUAUCCUUAAAAGUUUACUUCUUUCUGAUGAGAAAGUAUUCAAGACUUUGAUACGCUUGUCACCAAUUGAUUUGUCCAGCGUGAAGAAGAACUUUACUCUUAAUUUACUGGUCUUAAGAGAGCUUGGAAUGCCUGAAUCCACCAUCUCCCUUUUUGUGACUAGCAGUCCUAAACGUAUGUGCCAGAAUGUGGACAAAUUUAGUAGAAAUGUCAAGGAAAUUAUAGGGAUGGGAUUUAAUCCUGUAAAAUCCGUAUUUGCUUUCGCACUCGGAGUGAAAUCACAAAUGUCCCCGAUAACAUGGAAAGGUAAAAUAGAAGUUUUUAGGAGGUGGGGUUUGUUAGAAGAUGAGAUUUUGUUGGCUUUCAGAAAGCAUCCAUUGUUUAUGAGUUUGUCUGAGAAGACAAUUAUGAAAAAUAUGGAUUUUCUUGUGAAUAAGAUGGGUUGGCAGCCUGCUGUUGUAGCCAGAACUCCAGCUGUUUUAACUUACAGUUUGGAGAAGAGGAUUGUCCCGAGGUGUUAUGUUAUAAAAGUUUUGCUUCUAAAGGGUUUGAUCAAGGAAACAAUCAGUUUACUUUCGUUUCUACCACGUUCCGACAAGAGCUUCUUAGAGUCGUUCGUGAUCAAGCAUGAGGAACAAGUGCCUCAAUUGAUGGAUGUUUUCAAAGGGAAAACUGAUCUUGCAGAAGUAUGUUUUGGGUUUGGUGAAAAAUGUAGCGCUCCAAGGGCACAGCGUGCAGCAAAUUAAUAGAAACCAAUGUUCCUAUUGAUAUUGUGAUUUUCCUUUCUCUGCUUUGAAGGGUGCAUUAAAAUUCAGGUUCUUUGUAGGCGAGAAUGGCUAAUUUCGAAUAGCUUGAUUUAGUGGGUCUGAGAAUGGAAGCUACUUAACAGCACAAGCACUUGUAUGAUACUAUUUAAACAGAUAGCAUAUUGCGUAUCAUUUAAAACAGCUUAUUUUUCCCUAAAAAAAUAAUGCAAUUAUUCUUGCGAUUCAUCUCAAUUUGGCAUAUCUACGCGUUACCAUCUUCUCACAUAUGAAAAAUAAAUACCUAGAUCUAACACAAGCAUUACUGAGUGUUAUUUUGCCUCACACCAUUUAAUAGACAGUAGACUAAUUUACAACAUCAAGCACCAGCCUUCGAGACUUCAGAACAGACCAUUUCAAUCUUCGAUAGUAAGCCGCUUGGAGAAGUGCAAGUGACAGUACAAAUAUCCACUUAAAUCCCAUCAGUUUUCUCUCCUCCAUUUCUGGUUCAGCAGCCCAUGACAGAAAUGUCACCACAUCUUUUCCCAUCUGUGAUUCUGUUGCUGGAGUACCAUCUUCAUAUUCAACAGCACCAUCAUUCAACAUUUUGGGCAUAGCGAUAGCUCCUCCGGGGAAGUAAGGAUUAUAGUGCAGCCCAUCUCGAAUCGAGACACCAGCAGGAGGAUCAUGGUAA